This 248-nucleotide unclassified non-coding RNA is filed under the name plant metagenome. Its description in RNAcentral is "partial contains small subunit ribosomal RNA and internal transcribed spacer 1". The stretch from base 1 to 46 matches the Rfam family "Eukaryotic small subunit ribosomal RNA", at positions 1786 to 1831 of the family's 1831-position model. The record is from RNAcentral.
AAGUCGUAACAAGGUUUCCGUAGGUGAACCUGCGGAAGGAUCAUUAAAGAGUAAGGGUGCUUAGCGCCCGACCUCCAACCCUUUGUUGUUAAAACUACCUUGUUGCUUUGGCGGACCGGCUCGGUCUCGAGCCGCUGGGGCAUUCGGUCCCAGGCCGAGCGCCCGCCAGACGUUCAAACCAAAUACCAUCUUGUUUAGUUUUAAAUACCCGGGUCGUCUGAGUUAAAAACUUUUUGAAUAAAUCAAAA